CGUGCGCAAGGUUGAAUCGAACAACUCGGCCGUCAAGCCGCCACAGGUUUCUUCAUUAAUUUGAAGCCUGCACCCACCACCAGGUAGGAUCAUGCACAC
Chaetoceros tenuissimus is the source of this 99-nucleotide non-coding RNA. The record is from the annotation of a GenBank genome assembly. NCBI's taxonomy places the organism in Eukaryota, Bacillariophyta, Thalassiosirophyceae, Chaetocerotales, Chaetocerotaceae.